Molecule: ribosomal RNA, 754 nt
Filed under: uncultured Comamonadaceae bacterium
Lineage: Bacteria; Pseudomonadati; Pseudomonadota; Betaproteobacteria; Burkholderiales; Comamonadaceae
Description: bacterial SSU rRNA
Rfam family: Bacterial small subunit ribosomal RNA
Source: RNAcentral
AUUGAACGCUGGCGGCAUGCCUUACACAUGCAAGUCGAACGGCAGCACGGGAGCAAUCCUGGUGGCGAGUGGCGAACGGGUGAGUAAUACAUCGGAACGUGCCCAAUCGUGGGGGAUAACGCAGCGAAAGCUGUGCUAAUACCGCAUACGAUCUACGGAUGAAAGCAGGGGAUCGCAAGACCUUGCGCGAAUGGAGCGGCCGAUGGCAGAUUAGGUAGUUGGUGAGGUAAAGGCUCACCAAGCCGUCGAUCUGUAGCUGGUCUGAGAGGACGACCAGCCACACUGGGACUGAGACACGGCCCAGACUCCUACGGGAGGCAGCAGUGGGGAAUUUUGGACAAUGGGCGAAAGCCUGAUCCAGCCAUGCCGCGUGCAGGAUGAAGGCCUUCGGGUUGUAAACUGCUUUUGUACGGAACGAAACGGCCUUUUCUAAUAAAGAGGGCUAAUGACGGUACCGUAAGAAUAAGCACCGGCUAACUACGUGCCAGCAGCCGCGGUAAUACGUAGGGUGCAAGCGUUAAUCGGAAUUACUGGGCGUAAAGCGUGCGCAGGCGGUUAUGUAAGACAGUUGUGAAAUCCCCGGGCUCAACCUGGGAACUGCAUCUGUGACUGCAUAGCUAGAGUACGGUAGAGGGGGGAUGGAAUUCCGCGUGUAGCAGUGAAAUGCGUAGAUAUGCGGAGGAACACCGAUGGCGAAGGCAAUCCCCUGGACCUGUACUGACGCUCAUGCACGAAAGCGUGGGGAGCAAACAGG